Molecule: long non-coding RNA, 352 nt
Organism: Mus musculus (house mouse)
Lineage: Eukaryota; Metazoa; Chordata; Mammalia; Rodentia; Muridae
Product: predicted gene, 41981
Exons: 3
Source: RefSeq, a predicted model, not a curated record
AGUCCUUCUGUUACCAGAUCUUCUCUGUCAUUAAGGUUUCUCCUGAGGGAAUCACACACCAGGAGUGAAAAGCCCCCCACCCCACCCCGUGCUUGACUUUUACACAGACCCUGGGAGUCCAGCCUUCCCUCCCUGUGCUUGGGAGUCCAGCCUUUGGACCCCGUACUUCCAUAACAGUUCUGGUUACAGGCACCUGUCAGCAAGCUUGACUUAUGUCACCUGGGGAGCCUCAAGCUUGCACAGCAAGGACUUUACCCAGUGAGCCAUCGGACCAGUCCAAACAGUGAUCCACUGGACCAGCCCAAACAGUGAGCCUCCCACCUUCUCCUCCCAGAGCGUGGUGCCAGGUGUG